AAAUGAAUGACUAAGUAGAUUUUAAAAGCCACGUGGCCAGUGAUGCCUCACACUGAGGCACUGACCUGUCCUCGAUUAUCUGAGCCCUGGAGACUUAAAGAAAAGGCCUUAGCACUUAAGGGCCUACGGAGGGCCUUGCCCUCGGGGCUUAGCUGAAGCUCAGAGUUAAUCUGGGAGAAGAGUGAGACUGCUCAGUCAGUCCCCAACCACACGACCCUCUAAGGCCUGCUUCCCAAGGAUACCCAGGCCCAAGUCCACCACCCCACAUGCCCUUUCCAGUGGUCCGGCAGCACUCCCUGGAUCAACCUGAGAAAGCAACACUUCUAGAAACAUAUCCUCACGCCAUGUCACUGUAUUCCACACUAUGUGAAGAUUUUACUUCUGUUAUAAAAGAACUGCCUCAUUAAAUCUUCCCAAUAACCCCAUGAAGUUGGCCCUAUAAUCAUCCCCAUUUUACAGAUGCUCACAGAGAGAUCACACAGCAAGGACGGGGUGGAGCCACGAUGUGUGAACCUUGCCUGGUCUCAUUCCAAGGCCGUUCUCUUGUUAUAAUGAACAUGAGAUCCACUGAAGUGAUGGGAGUCAUGUCAGGGACACAGAAACUAUACUAAGUCCGCUACACAGAGAUUUAACAUAGUGAAUGGCGUACACAGGCACUGCGACAGUAGGAAGAAGGUGAGGGGACCCAGAGACGAGGAAAAGCAAAGAGCCCACACCUUCCCCGGGGCUGGGUCACAAAGGCAGGAGACCAGGUCACCAACCUGCAGGCAGAGAGCAGGGGUUUCAUCCCAGGAGCUGGGAGCAUGGAGGAAGGACCAGUGUGGUGCUGCGGGUGAGACCACCCACAAGGGGAAGGAGGAGAGAGCUGAGAGGAACCAAGGCCACCCCUGCCUUCCCCACUCAGGCCUCCAGCCAGCAGAACCCACCAGAAGGCCCCCUGGCGAGGAAGCCUGAGGUGCCCAGUCUGCAGGUAAGCCACCCCCAAAACACUCACAGACAGCUGGGUGCAGCAAGUGAAAAUGCCUCGUGACUUCCACAGCGCCUGGCACAGGGCUCAGUGCCUCUGAACCAAAUGCCA
Molecule: long non-coding RNA, 1078 nt
Filed under: Capra hircus (goat)
Lineage: Eukaryota; Metazoa; Chordata; Mammalia; Artiodactyla; Bovidae
Description: lncRNA (ENSCHIG00010012272.1)
Source: RNAcentral